UACGGAGGGAGCUAGCGUUGUUCGGAAAUACUGGGCGUAAAGCGCACGUAGGCGGCGCCGUAAGUCAGGGGUGAAAUCCCGGGGCUCAACCCCGGAACUGCCCUUGAAACUGCAGUGCUAGAAUCUUGGAGAGGCGAGUGGAAUUCCGAGUGUAGAGGUGAAAUUCGUAGAUAUUCGGAAGAACACCAGUGGCGAAGGCGACUCGCUGGACAAGUAUUGACGCUGAGGUGCGAAAGCGUGGGGAGCAAACAGG
Molecule: ribosomal RNA, 253 nt
Filed under: uncultured bacterium
Lineage: Bacteria
Description: partial 16S ribosomal RNA
Rfam family: Bacterial small subunit ribosomal RNA
Source: RNAcentral